Molecule: ribosomal RNA, 467 nt
Filed under: uncultured bacterium
Lineage: Bacteria
Description: partial 16S ribosomal RNA
Rfam family: Bacterial small subunit ribosomal RNA
Source: RNAcentral
GACGAACGCUGGCGGCGUGCUUAACACAUGCAAGUCGAACGAUGACGACCGAGCUUGCUCGGUCUGAUUAGUGGCGAACGGGUGAGUAACACGUGAGCAACCUGCCCUUCACUCUGGGAUAACCUCGGGAAAUCGGGGCUAAUACCGGAUAUGAGCUCCUGUCGCAUGGCGGGUGUUGGAAAGUUUUUCGGUGAAGGAUGGGCUCGCGGCCUAUCAGUUUGUUGGUGAGGUAGUGGCUCACCAAGGCGAUGACGGGUAGCCGGCCUGAGAGGGCGACCGGCCACACUGGGACUGAGACACGGCCCAGACUCCUACGGGAGGCAGCAGUGGGGAAUAUUGCACAAUGGGCGAAAGCCUGAUGCAGCGACGCGGCGUGAGGGAUGACGGCCUUCGGGUUGUAAACCUCUUUCAGCAGGGAAGAAGCGAAAGUGACGGUACCUGCAAAAGAAGCGCCGGCUAACUACGUG